RNAcentral lists this ribosomal RNA (250 nucleotides) under uncultured prokaryote. RNAcentral's name for it is "partial 16S ribosomal RNA". It matches the Rfam family "Bacterial small subunit ribosomal RNA", at positions 524 to 773 of the family's 1533-position model. The record is from RNAcentral.
UACGUAGGGGGCAAGCGUUAUCCGGAUUUACUGGGUGUAAAGGGGGCGCAGACGGGAAUGCAAGUCUGAAGUGAAAACCCACGGCUCAACUGUGGGCUUGCUUUGGAAACUGUAUUUCUUGAGUGUCGGAGGGGUAAGCGGAAUUCCUGGUGUAGCGGUGAAAUGCGUAGAUAUCAGGAAGAACACCGGUGGCGAAGGCGGCUUACUGGACGACAACUGACGUUGAGGCCCGAAGGCGUGGGGAGCAAAC